GGGGGUGUAAAGGUUUCGACGGGGGUAAUAAGCAAAGGUUGCAUGCCGAGGUCCGGGUGGCUCGUAAAACAAUCCGGGACGCAUUAAGCGCCGAUAAUUACGAUUACGCUUUAGCAGCUUAAUAACCUGCUAACGAUCUACCUUCCCUCUCCCAUGGGGCAGGAUAGAUCGUCAUUUCAGUGGGAUAGCCGAGGGAAGUGCCUGUGGUCCCGAAGCGAAAUUAAAGCAGGAUCGAACCUGACAAAUCCCGGCCAGUGGAGUUCUCGGGGGCUAAAACAAAAACUGGUAUAAGCAUGUAGACGCCUUUCGUGUACGAUCUUCGGACGCGGGUUCGAUUCCCGCCACCUCCACCA
This 353-nucleotide transfer-messenger RNA is filed under the name Geotalea daltonii FRC-32. RNAcentral's name for it is "Geobacter sp. FRC-32 transfer-messenger RNA". It matches the Rfam family "transfer-messenger RNA". From Rfam's summary of the family: Bacterial tmRNA, also known as 10Sa RNA or SsrA, is named for its dual tRNA and mRNA-like properties. Its role is to liberate the mRNA from a stalled ribosome. The record is from Rfam by way of RNAcentral. Lineage: Bacteria; Pseudomonadati; Thermodesulfobacteriota; Desulfuromonadia; Geobacterales; Geobacteraceae. RNAcentral also lists the same sequence under 1 other name.